GGCGACGAUGCGUAGGGGUUCUGAGAGGAAGGCCCCCCACACUGGGACUGAGACACGGCCCAGACUCCUACGGGAGGCAGCAGUGAGGAAUAUUGGUCAAUGGGCGGAAGCCUGAACCAGCCAAGUCGCGUGAGGGAUUAAGGCCCUGCGGGUCGUAAACCUCUUUUGCCGGGGAGCAGUGGUCCGGACGCGUCCGGACCGGGAGAGUACCCGGAGAAAAAGCAUCGGCUAACUCCGUGCCAGCAGCCGCGGUAAUACGGAGGAUGCGAGCGUUAUCCGGAUUUAUUGGGUUUAAAGGGUGCGUAGGCGGGCAUUUAAGCCGGCGGUCAAAUGUCGGGGCUCAACCCCGGCCUGCCGUCGGAACUGGGUGCCUUGAGUGGGCGAGAAGUAUGCGGAAUGCGUGGUGUAGCGGUGAAAUGCAUAGAUAUCACGCAGAACCCCGAUUGCGAAGGCAGCAUACCGGCGCCCUACUGACGCUGAGGCACGAAAGUGCGGGUAUCGAACAGGAUUAGAUACCCUGGUAGUCCGCACAGUAAACGAUGGAUGCUAUCUGUCCGGGCCGAAUGAGGCCUGG
RNAcentral lists this ribosomal RNA (574 nucleotides) under uncultured bacterium. RNAcentral's name for it is "bacterial SSU rRNA". It matches the Rfam family "Bacterial small subunit ribosomal RNA", at positions 272 to 842 of the family's 1533-position model. The record is from RNAcentral.